Astyanax mexicanus (Mexican tetra) is the source of this 560-nucleotide long non-coding RNA. RefSeq lists it as uncharacterized. NCBI's taxonomy places the organism in Eukaryota, Metazoa, Chordata, Actinopteri, Characiformes, Acestrorhamphidae. The transcript has 3 exons. The record is from RefSeq and is a predicted model, not a curated record.
UUGUUUACAGUGCCCGGAUCGGCUCCAACAGUGGCUUUCGUGUUCCUCUGUCCAUCCUUUCCCCUGUAUGGACCAGAUGGAAUUUUUCAGCGCCUCUACUUCCCAGCUACCGGCCUGUUCUACCCCUCUUUCUUCCCGAUCGAGUGGGAGGACAGGUUCGAGUACUGGGAGUGGCGUCUGCGCAGCCAUGCUGCACACCUGUGCUUCGUGGAACUGACUUGGAGACUCUACCAGAAGACCAGGUUUGCCACAUCUGCCUGCAGACAGCUGGAUCCUCCGUCAGACAGGGACAACGAACACAAGGGCCCCUGCAUCGCGCUCACAGAAGAGGACUGGGAACCACCACGGAAGAAGCUUCGCGUCUGAUUCACCAGUAUCCUUUAGUAUCCUUUAUUUAUUUCUCUGUAUAUAUCUCUUUAUUUAUCUUAAGUUUCCUUCACAUUUUUUACAGUUAAUAAAUGUUCUUUAUAUUUUAUAGAGUUAAUUUAUUUUCUUUAUAUUUUUAGAGAGGUAAUGAAUUUACUUUACAUUUUUAUAGAGUUAAUAAGUUACAUUUUCAU